This is a long non-coding RNA of Etheostoma cragini (Arkansas darter), 114 nucleotides long. RefSeq lists it as uncharacterized. The transcript is spliced from 3 exons. The record is from RefSeq and is a predicted model, not a curated record. NCBI's taxonomy places the organism in Eukaryota, Metazoa, Chordata, Actinopteri, Perciformes, Percidae.
UGGAUCUAAUCACCUGCAGCUAUAACAUGAAAGACUGGAUGGGCUCUCUGAAAUGAAGGGCAUUGGUAUUGGGUGCUACAUAUUACAAAGAGAAGUUCAAACAGAGUCCUAAAC